CCUGAGAGAGAGAGAGAAAGAACACCUCCAGAGAGCAGCCUGCUGAUAGAACCUACUUCUUACAAUAUGAUCAUGGGGUUAAGAGGCAUCGUCCCCACUCAUGGUGAGCCUCCUUGACACUGCUGCAGAGAUACUCAACUAGAUAAUACCUUUGUCUUCUCCAAUGGUGAAUAUAAUAAAAUUACACUGAAAGGGCAGAAAUACUGUAGUAGCAACUUUCCUAGGAUAUCAGAACUGUGACAAAACCCUAUCCGCCUCCGUUCUUCAGCAUCAGCAAAGUGACAGUAGUUAAAAUAAUAUGCUCUCUCAGAUGACUGUAUUUUCAAGAAAUAAAGCAAGCAUCAGAAGACUCUUUCAGUGUACUUAGAGAAGCACAAGUUAAGGGAUGGUGCUGAUGAAUUGAGACCAAGGAGGAGGCUACAGCAUCACUCACAUGUUUAUCUUGCUGCUAAACUCCUGCCUUAGACAUCUGGCCAGUCCACUUUGCAGGGAUGCCCCUGUAGGCCCAGCUCCCACAGAACUGUGACUCUCUUCCACUCCCUUUCUGCAAAGCUUCAUUUUUACUAGUAUCCAUCCUGGCAGUCUCUGGUACAGACCCCUGGCACAAACCAGAAUGCAGACCUUAUUUUUAUUUCUCAGAGGUGAACCACCACCUCCCAUAAACUCCCCUAUUAUUCUCUCUACAAAGUUCGUUCAUGUGUUACCUGACUGUUGUAGCAGCUAAACUUUAAACUUACAAUAUUAUAAUAUUACCAAUAUGCAAGCUGGGUAAAUGGGAUAAGGAACACAUUUUGAAACAAAUUAUCACAAAGAGAGGGAAAAACUAUUUUCUUACCUUUUUUUAUUAUUUAUUUUUUUAGGCCCUUGAAACAAACUCACAAUUCUUCAGAUCAAAAGCAGAUGUUUUAAAACCAGGGUUGAAGUUAACUUUAUCAACCAUGUGUCACUAUUUGUCUGUGCAAAGCUAUGACUAAGUUUACAAGUUUAGGAAGGCCUUAAGUGACUUGCUUUAUACUGCCAUUCAGUAUUGCCCUACACACAAACAAUCCUUUAGUGUAAUAAAAUAUGUGUCUUUGCUGCUUUGCUAGAAGUUAUUGAGAAGUCUUCUGAUAUCCAGCUAUGAAAAGCACCAUGACUGGUUCUGCCCAGAAGCUGCAUGAAUACAUGUGGAGCAGAAAAGUUGCUCUUUAUAGCCAGCUGUAAAAUUCUUUCAAACCCUGUGAAUGUUAAGCCUGAGAAGGCUUUUUUUCCCAGAGAUAUAAAUUAGCUUCAGCAUACCAAACUUCAACUGUAUGUAUUAGUCAAGAUUUCACUCCAAGCUUACACUUUACUCAUGAAACUCAAAGUCAGCCAGCCUAUUUCAAGAAAAAAACCCAGUGUUUGGUUCCAGUAAGCUACCAUGGAACAUGCUCCAGAUUUGACAAAUGUAAUUAGUUGCUUUUGUGUGUUUAGUACACAAUGCAAAUGCUGUAAAAUGUUUUUCACAUGAUGCAACAUUGCCAGCAGAUAAUCAUUGGAGCAUUAAACCAAAAGAAUUUGUGUGUACCCUACAAGGUGCAGGAGGAUAAGAAAAUGUAAACAAAAACUAACAGCUGAAUUUUUCAGAUGAUACCAUUCCUUUUCUUUCGUUGAACCGAUUCAUUUUUUAAAUGUCACUUUUUGUCAGUUUCUCUAGAAAUUGAUUAGAAACCUCUAAGCCAAUGUGAAAAUGCUUUUGUUUCUGUUCUGGUUUUGACUGUGUGAAUUUUUUUAGAACAUUUUCAGUUUAAUUAUGCAGCACUAAAAAUUGCAAUUAAACUGAAUUUGCAAUUGAAACUGCUCAUUUUAGUUAACUGUCAAAUUUACUACAGCAUUGUGAAAUAGGGGCCUUUAUUAUUAUGAGGUGUUUUGGAAAGAAUUACUUUUUAAACAGGACAAAAAUGUCAUGUCUCUCAGUCUCAUCACAAUGAACCAAAAA
This 1957-nucleotide long non-coding RNA is filed under the name Strigops habroptila (Kakapo). Its description in RNAcentral is "lncRNA (ENSSHBG00005014368.1)". The record is from RNAcentral. Lineage: Eukaryota; Metazoa; Chordata; Aves; Psittaciformes; Psittacidae.